Molecule: long non-coding RNA, 830 nt
Filed under: Brassica napus (rape)
Lineage: Eukaryota; Viridiplantae; Streptophyta; Magnoliopsida; Brassicales; Brassicaceae
Description: long non-coding RNA (BNAP_LNC016745)
Source: RNAcentral
AUAUACUAUAUAUCUAUAUAUUUUUAUAACUGUUAGAACUGCACCGCAGUUGAACCGCUUGUCCCGCACCGCUCAAACCGCAGUCACCAUUCGAAGCCUUUAAUUUGUUUGAAGACUGUUGUUCCAAUCUCCAACCGUAUGUUUUCUCGUAAGCCUUCUCGAUACAUCUUUACCAAUGUAGGUUCGUCGUGUUUGUCUACCAGACCUCCUGCUAGAAACCUUGUAUUGUAUUCUCUCACAGAAGAUUUUCCUUGCUUCAUUUCGCCUUCGGCAGGACAGAAAUUUAAAAAUAGAUGAGGAUGUUGCAUUCUCCGACGGUGUAUUUAAACGAGCCGGUUGAUAGGAUAAGCAACCAUUAGAACACUAAAGGCGUAAUUAGGAGGUGUUUCGUGAAAGUGUACAAGAGUGAGAGCCAACGAAAUGCGACCAUUUAAUAGAACAUUAUAAAAUACAACGUUAAUAAUUAAAAAGAACAACAUUAAUUGAAACCAACAACAUUAAUAAUCAUUUAGAUGCAUUUAGAGUUAUUUAAUUAAACAAUACUACUUAGAGUUAUUUAAGUAAUUUAACAUCCACACAAUUCCUUAAGCAGUUUAAUAUCUUCCAUCAUUUUCUUCAACUCAUCUUCCAUCUUCUUUCAGCAACUUCCUCCUUUACCUCCUACAGUUUUUCUUUUACAGCAUCAAAACAGUGAUGCCGAUUGUGAAACCCAUCAUUCUGAAGGAUAUAAGAUAGUGAACUUCAUAUAUAAACUAAAAAAAAUUGAACUUAUAUAAGAUUAUAAACAUCAUUUCUCACCUCAUCCCCCCUCCAUACAUAAUUCCUUAAGC